UCUACAGGAGACAAACAACACACACUAAACUAGAGAAUCUGAAGUCCUCAGUGAAAAAACACCAGCCUAAAAACUGACCAGGCUAUCAACAUGAUUUCCCAUCCUGUUUAACUGAUUUUAGAGAGGGUUGACAACUUUAUUUGGCUGAGGCCUGUGCUGUGGGGAAGAACGAAAACCCUCUCUUUUCUCCUCAGAAUAAAUCUUUGUCCUUAAUUUCA
This is a non-coding RNA of Danio rerio (zebrafish), 218 nucleotides long. The record is from Ensembl. Lineage: Eukaryota; Metazoa; Chordata; Actinopteri; Cypriniformes; Danionidae.